GACGAACGCUGGCGGCGUGCCUAAUACAUGCAAGUAGAACGCACAGUUUAUACCGUAGCUUGCUACACCAUAGACUGUGAGUUGCGAACGGGUGAGUAACGCGUAGGUAACCUGCCUGGUAGCGUGGGAUAACUAUUGGAAACGAUAGCUAAUACCGCAUAAUAUUAAUUAUUGCAUGAUAAUUAAUUGAAAGGUGCAAUUGCACCACUACCAGACGGACCUGCGUUGUAUUAGCUAGUAGGUGAGGUAACGGCUCACCUAGGCGACGAUACAUAGCCGACCUGAGAGGGUGAUCGGCCACACUGGGAGUGGGACACGGCCCAGACUCCUACGGGAGGCAGCAGUAGGGAAUCUUCGGCAAUGGACGAAAGUCUGACCGAGCAACGCCGCGUGAGUGAAGAAGGUUUUCGGAUCGUAAAGCUCUGUUGUAAGAGAAGAACGGGUGUGAGAGUGGAAAGUUCACACUGUGACGGUAUCUUACCAGAAAGGGACGGCUAACUACGUG
This 505-nucleotide ribosomal RNA is filed under the name uncultured bacterium. RNAcentral's name for it is "partial 16S ribosomal RNA". It matches the Rfam family "Bacterial small subunit ribosomal RNA", at positions 28 to 507 of the family's 1533-position model. The record is from RNAcentral.